UACGGAGGGGGCAAGCGUUAUUCGGAAUUAUUGGGCGUAAAGGGCGCGUAGGCGGCUAGAUGUGUCAAAGGUGAAAUCCCUCGGCUCAACUGAGGAACUGCCUUUGAAACUGUCUGGCUUGAGGCCGGGAGAGGGUAGCGGAAUUCCCAGUGUAGCGGUGAAAUGCGUAGAUAUUGGGAGGAACACCAGUGGCGAAGGCGGCUACCUGGACCGGUUCUGACGCUGAGGCGCGGAAGCGUGGGUAGCAAACAGG
This 253-nucleotide ribosomal RNA is filed under the name uncultured bacterium. RNAcentral's name for it is "partial 16S ribosomal RNA". It matches the Rfam family "Bacterial small subunit ribosomal RNA", at positions 524 to 776 of the family's 1533-position model. The record is from RNAcentral.